RNAcentral lists this ribosomal RNA (301 nucleotides) under uncultured bacterium. RNAcentral describes it as "partial 16S ribosomal RNA". It matches the Rfam family "Bacterial small subunit ribosomal RNA", at positions 509 to 807 of the family's 1533-position model. The record is from RNAcentral.
CAGUCGCCACGGGAAUACGAAGGGUGCAAGCGUUAAUCGGAAUUAUUGGGCGUAAAGAGCUCGUAGGCGGUUUGUCGCGUCUGCUGUGAAAACUGGAGGCUCAACCUCCAGCCUGCAGUGGGUACGGGCAGACUAGAGUGCGGUAGGGGAGAUUGGAAUUCCUGGUGUAGCGGUGGAAUGCGCAGAUAUCAGGAGGAACACCGAUGGCGAAGGCAAUCCCCUGGGCCUGUACUGACGCUCAUGCACGAAAGCGUGGGGAGCAAACAGGAUUAGAUACCCCAGUAGUCCCUGUCUCUUAUAC